RNAcentral lists this transfer RNA (72 nucleotides) under Fidelibacterota bacterium. RNAcentral's name for it is "tRNA-Glu". It matches the Rfam family "tRNA". From Rfam's summary of the family: Transfer RNA (tRNA) molecules are approximately 80 nucleotides in length. Their secondary structure includes four short double-helical elements and three loops (D, anti-codon, and T loops). Further hydrogen bonds mediate the characteristic L-shaped molecular structure. tRNAs have two regions of fundamental functional importance: the anti-codon, which is responsible for specific mRNA codon recognition, and the 3' end, to which the tRNAs corresponding amino acid is attached (by aminoacyl-tRNA synthetases). tRNAs cope with the degeneracy of the genetic code in two manners: having more than one tRNA (with a specific anti-codon) for a particular amino acid; and 'wobble' base-pairing, i.e. permitting non-standard base-pairing at the 3rd anti-codon position. Lineage: Bacteria; Pseudomonadati; Fidelibacterota. The record is from RNAcentral.
GGCCCGUUCAUCUAGGAGCUAGGACGCCGCCUUCUCAAGGCGGUAACACGAGUUCGAAUCUCGUACGGGCUA